This 497-nucleotide ribosomal RNA is filed under the name uncultured bacterium. Its description in RNAcentral is "partial 16S ribosomal RNA". It matches the Rfam family "Bacterial small subunit ribosomal RNA", at positions 28 to 507 of the family's 1533-position model. The record is from RNAcentral.
GAUGAACGCUGGCGGCGUGCCUAAUACAUGCAAGUCGAGCGAACAGACGAGGAGCUUGCUCCUCUGACGUUAGCGGCGGACGGGUGAGUAACACGUGGAUAACCUACCUAUAAGACUGGGAUAACUUCGGGAAACCGGAGCUAAUACCGGAUAAUAUAUUGAACCGCAUGGUUCAAUAGUGAAAGACGGUUUUGCUGUCACUUAUAGAUGGAUCCGCGCCGCAUUAGCUAGUUGGUAAGGUAACGGCUUACCAAGGCAACGAUGCGUAGCCGACCGGAGAGGGGGAUCGGCCACACGGGAACGUAGACAGGGUCAAGACUCCUACGGGAGGCAGCAGAAGGGAAUCUUCCGCAAAGGGCGAAAGCCUGACGGAGCAACGCCGCGUGAGUGAUGAAGGUCUUCGGAUCGUAAAACUCUGUUAUUAGGGAAGAACAAAUGUGUAAGUAACUAUGCACGUCGUGACGGUACCUAAUCAGAAAGCCACGGCUAACUACGUG